This 297-nucleotide small RNA is filed under the name Pongo abelii (Sumatran orangutan). RNAcentral describes it as "processed transcript". The record is from RNAcentral. Lineage: Eukaryota; Metazoa; Chordata; Mammalia; Primates; Hominidae.
AAGAAAGAAAAACUCAACCAGCAGGCAGGAAGCAGAGAGAUUCAGAGGGGCCAGGCUCCUCUUUUCCCUUCCAGAAGCCCAAGCAUCCAGGAAAAAGGGAAGGGGCAGGCAGGAGAAACCCAGAGGACCCAUCUGCUGAAAAGACAUUGAGCUUUGGACUGGGCAGUACCUUCAUCUGGCCAAAAGGAACCACUGGAUCACAGUCCCCUCUUGCUGUUGGCUGCACAUCGGGAAGGGCUAUGAUGGGAAUGAAGGUGAAAACUUGGAGAUUUCACUUCAGUCAUUGCUUCUGCCUGC